ACGAAGGGCGGACUCAUGAUGAACGGUCUUUGAUAUUCUUUAGAGAAGACCUACCAUCACGACUUUGCCAAUAUGUUGGCUCAAGUGGGAAAGUACAUGCAGAUCGAUGAAGCAUUCGAAGAUGAGUCUCCGACAAAUGUGGCUAUCGGAGAGAAGAAGAAAGAAGAGGUGAUGAAGUCUUUGCCAAGGACUUAGCAGUGCUUCCGCUCUCUACCCAAAUGUCGAAGGCCCUGAACUCCCUUGUAGAAUCGCCAAUAAAUAAAUUCCUUCAGAGGAGAGCGGCAUGUGUCUUCACCUAGAAGGUUCAUAAACUACAUGCCACUAAACACUGCAUAAGCCCAAGUGUUGAUAGAGAUU
Molecule: long non-coding RNA, 357 nt
Filed under: Elaeis guineensis (African oil palm)
Lineage: Eukaryota; Viridiplantae; Streptophyta; Magnoliopsida; Arecales; Arecaceae
Description: long non-coding RNA (EGUI_LNC070961)
Source: RNAcentral